RNAcentral lists this long non-coding RNA (265 nucleotides) under Erythranthe guttata (spotted monkey flower). RNAcentral's name for it is "long non-coding RNA (EGUT_LNC000508)". The record is from RNAcentral. Lineage: Eukaryota; Viridiplantae; Streptophyta; Magnoliopsida; Lamiales; Phrymaceae.
UGCCACCUGUCACUACUGCGCUGCCAUCUCCAGUGCCUUUUCCUCAAAGCCCAGUGCCACCUGUCACUACUCCUUUGCCAUCUCCAGUGCCUUUUCCUCAAAGCCCAGUGCCACCUGUCACUACUCCUUUGCCAUCUCCUGCCCCUUCUCAAAGCCCAGUGCCACCUGUCACUACUCCGUCACCAUCUUUUGCGCCUACAACUCAGCCAUCAUCUGCUCAUUCGCCCGUGCCGUCUUUUGUGCCGACAUCUAUGCCAUCGUCUAC